Molecule: ribosomal RNA, 460 nt
Filed under: uncultured bacterium
Lineage: Bacteria
Description: partial 16S ribosomal RNA
Rfam family: Bacterial small subunit ribosomal RNA
Source: RNAcentral
CCUACGGGGGGCAGCAGUGAGGAAUAUUGGUCAAUGGACGAGAGUCUGAACCAGCCAAGUAGCGUGAAGGAUGACUGCCCUAUGGGUUGUAAACUUCUUUUAUAUGGGAAUAAAAUGUUCCACGUGUGGGAUUUUGUAUGUACCAUAUGAAUAAGGCUCGGCUAACUCCGUGCCAGCAGCCGCGGUAAUACGGAGGAUCCGAGCGUUAUCCGGAUUUAUUGGGUUUAAAGGGGGCGUAGGUGGAUUGUUAAGUCAGUUGUGAAAGUUUGCGGCGCAACCGUAAAAUUGCAGUUGAAACUGGCAGUCUUGAGUACAGGAGAGGUGGGCGGAAUUCGGGGUGUAGCGGUGAAAUGCUUAGAUAUCACGAAGAACUCCGAUUGCGAAGGCAGUUCACUGGACUGCAACUGACACUGAGGCUCGAAAGUGUGGGUAUCAAACAGGAUUAGAUACCCUAGUAGUC